GGGUGCGAUCAUACCAGCACUAAUGCACCGGAUCCCAUCAGAACUCCGCAGUUAAGCGUGCUUGGGCGAGAGUAGUACUAGGAUGGGUGACCUCCUGGGAAGUCCUCGUGUUGCACCCCCCC
RNAcentral lists this ribosomal RNA (122 nucleotides) under Arabis alpina (gray rockcress). Lineage: Eukaryota; Viridiplantae; Streptophyta; Magnoliopsida; Brassicales; Brassicaceae. The record is from RNAcentral.